AAAAAAGGUAAGCUACUAAGAGCGAAUGGUGGAUGCCUUGACUGGUAAAGGCGAUGAAGGACGUACUAGACUGCGAUAAGCUACGGGGAGCUGUCAAGAAGCUUUGAUCCGUAGAUUUCCGAAUGGGGCAACCCAAUGUAUAGAGAUAUACAUUACCUAUAUAGGAGCGAACGAGGGGAAUUGAAACAUCUUAGUACCCUCAGGAAAAGAAAUCAAUAGAGAUUGCGUCAGUAGCGGCGAGCGAAAGCGCAAGAGGGCAAACCCAGUGCUUGCACUGGGGGUUGUAGGACUGCAAUGUGCAAGAGGUGAGUUUAGCAGAACAUUCUGGAAAGUAUAGCCAUAGAGGGUGAUAGUCCCGUAUGCGAAAAACAAACCUUAGCUAGCAGUAUCCUGAGUAGGGCGGGACACGAGAAAUCCUGUCUGAAGCUGGGUCGACCACGAUCCAACCCUAAAUACUAAUACCAGAUCGAUAGUGCACAAGUACCGUGAGGGAAAGGUGAAAAGAACUGAGGUGAUCAGAGUGAAAUAGAACCUGAAACCAUUUGCUUACAAUCAUUCAGAGCCCUAUGUAGCAAUACAGGGUGAUGGACUGCCUUUUGCAUAAUGAGCCUGCGAGUUGUGGUGUCUGGCAAGGUUAAGCAAACGCGAAGCCGUAGCGAAAGCGAGUCUGAAUAGGGCGCUUAGUCAGAUGCUGCAGACCCGAAACGAAGUGAUCUAUCCAUGAGCAAGUUGAAGCUAGUGUAAGAACUAGUGGAGGACUGAACCCAUAGGCGUUGAAAAGCCCCGGGAUGACUUGUGGAUAGGGGUGAAAGGCCAAUCAAACUUCGUGAUAGCUGGUUCUCUCCGAAAUAUAUUUAGGUAUAGCGUUGUGUCGUAAUAUAAGGGGGUAGAGCACUGAAUGGGCUAGGGCAUACACCAAUGUACCAAACCCUAUCAAACUCCGAAUACCUUAUAUGUAAUCACAGCAGUCAGGCGGCGAGUGAUAAAAUCCGUCGUCAAGAGGGAAACAACCCAGACUACCAGCUAAGGUCCCUAAAUCUUACUUAAGUGGAAAACGAUGUGAAGUUACUUAAACAACCAGGAGGUUGGCUUAGAAGCAGCCAUCCUUUAAAGAAAGCGUAAUAGCUCACUGGUCUAGUGAUUUUGCGCGGAAAAUAUAACGGGGCUAAAGUAAGUACCGAAGCUGUAGACUUGCGCACAACUUAGAUUAUUUAAGUUUAGAAUAUGAGAAACUAAGUUAUAUGUUUAGUUAUAUUUUUACUGAUUUUUAUAGAGUAAAGAUAGAAAUAAAACUUAGUAAAAUCAGUAAAAAUAUUCUUAGACUAAAGUUAAGUAGUUUAAGUUGUGUGCAAGUGGUAGGAGAGCGUUCUAUUUGCGCCGAAGGUAUACCGGUAAGGAGUGCUGGAGCGAAUAGAAGUGAGCAUGCAGGCAUGAGUAGCGAUAAUUAAUGUGAGAAUCAUUAACGCCGUAAACCCAAGGUUUCCUACGCGAUGCUCGUCAUCGUAGGGUUAGUCGGGUCCUAAGUCGAGUCCGAAAGGGGUAGACGAUGGCAAAUUGGUUAAUAUUCCAAUACCAACAUUAGUGUGCGAUGGAAGGACGCUUAGGGCUAAGGGGGCUAGCGG
RNAcentral lists this ribosomal RNA (1622 nucleotides) under Campylobacter coli. RNAcentral's name for it is "partial 23S ribosomal RNA". It matches the Rfam family "Bacterial large subunit ribosomal RNA", at positions 1 to 1497 of the family's 2925-position model. Lineage: Bacteria; Pseudomonadati; Campylobacterota; Epsilonproteobacteria; Campylobacterales; Campylobacteraceae. The record is from RNAcentral.